GAGUUUGAUCAUGGCUCAGGAUGAACGCUGGCGGCGUGCCUAACACAUGCAAGUCGAACGAAGCGCUUUACUUUGAUUUCUUCGGAUUGAGAAGUUUUGUGACUGAGUGGCGGACGGGUGAGUAACGCGUGGGUAACCUGCCUCACACAGGGGGAUAACAGUUAGAAAUGACUGCUAAUACCGCAUAAGACCACAGCACCGCAUGGUGCAGGGGUAAAAACUCCGGUGGUGUGAGAUGGACCCGCGUCUGAUUAGCUAGUUGGUAAGGUAAGGGCUUACCAAGGCGACGAUCAGUAGCCGACCUGAGA
Molecule: ribosomal RNA, 308 nt
Filed under: uncultured bacterium
Lineage: Bacteria
Description: bacterial SSU rRNA
Rfam family: Bacterial small subunit ribosomal RNA
Source: RNAcentral